AUGUACUCUGUGCUAUGUUAUUUAAUUACUUCAUUGACGCACAAGAUCUUGUUAAUUUCAGAUAUUAAUGAAUGCCUCCAACCAAACAUCUGUAAAGCGAACUGCCAUAAUAUUGAAGGAAGCUUCUAUUGUACGGAGUGUCCUCGCGGUACCGAGUAUGAUCUGGACAAAAUGCAGUGUACAACAACAAAACAACAAAUUCUGCUUUCAGGUAUUAUUAUUGGGUUGUGUGCUGGCUUCGGCAUUCUAGCUCUGAGUUUUAGUGCAACAUUUCUCAUUCGUAGAUGGAAUAGAAAUGUUCAACGGCAACUACGGAAGAAUUGA
RNAcentral lists this ribosomal RNA (324 nucleotides) under Triticum aestivum (bread wheat). RNAcentral describes it as "partial small subunit ribosomal RNA". Lineage: Eukaryota; Viridiplantae; Streptophyta; Magnoliopsida; Poales; Poaceae. The record is from RNAcentral.